RNAcentral lists this long non-coding RNA (880 nucleotides) under Marmota monax (woodchuck). Lineage: Eukaryota; Metazoa; Chordata; Mammalia; Rodentia; Sciuridae. The record is from RNAcentral.
GCUUCUUCCUUUUCAUUCAGGAAGUGAAGGCCUGCUCAUGAGGUUCUCCCUCUGUCUCACAGGCCAGCACUCUCACAGGGGUCACCUUAGCUGUCAGGGAGAAUAGGAAUGCAAAUAUUUCACAUUUUAGUCUUUCUUUUUGAGGACCGCAGGGGACAAAGAAGAUUAAAAAUGAGUUUUCAGUGAGUCAACCUCCUAUUAGUCAGAAUCCCUAGAUGCAAACAGUAGAAUUCACAGUAUUUAAUUUUAACAGAAAGAUUUUCAAUGUAAUGUUAGAUCACAGGAUUGCUGCCAAGAAUAGAGGACUAAGCUUAUUGAUAACAAAAUCUAAUGAUAUAAGGAGGAUCAUACCAAUAUGGCACAGAACUUUUCUAGCAUAAACAUCAUAGUAGCUACUGUCCCUGGCAGGUCAUUUGUGAAUGUCAUAUAUGGAUUCCAGGAGCUCCACCAUCCUAUCUCCAUGAUAGCACCUGUCAAAAGAUGUCCCCAAAGUGGCCACUCAUAUUGCUUCUAUUUGCAGCCAGGUCUCUAACUAACAAAAUCUGUGCAUGUGUCCACCCAUAACUGCAAAGGGAUCUUGGAAUGAAAGUCCCUUGGACUAGGCUAUCUAGAAAGCAGAGCCUGAGUUAAGGAUUAAAAUGCUGAGACCUCGAGAGGUGUCAAAGAGUAAGGGUGAGGUGAGGAGAAAGCAGAGGUGGGACAAGGUACUGUAAUGCAUUUUUGUGUGGGUUCCUGCUGUAGUAUUAGCUCUGGGUAUGUGUCCAUUGACAGGUUAUAUUUCUCCAGAGCAGUUAAAAGAGGAACUGAUUCAGGGUUGGGGUUGUGGCUCAGUGGUAAAGUGUUUGCCUCACAUGUGUGAGGCACUGGGAUAUAAAUGAAC